GGAUAACUAUUGGAAACGAUAGCUAAGACCGCAUAGGUGUCAUAACCGCAUGGAGAUGAUAUGAAAUAUGCUACGGCAUAGGUAGAGGAUGGACUUAUGGCGCAUUAGCUAGUUGGAGGGGUAACGGCCCACCAAGGCGACGAUGCGUAGCCGACCUGAGAGGGUGACCGGCCACACUGGGACUGAGACACGGCCCAGACUCCUACGGGAGGCAGCAGUAGGGAAUUUUCGGCAAUGGGGGAAACCCUGACCGAGCAACGCCGCGUGAAGGAAGAAGUAAUUCGUUAUGUAAACUUCUGUCAUAGAGGAAGAACGGUGCGUGUAGGGAAUGACAUGCAAGUGACGGUACUCUAUAAGAAAGCCACGGCUAACUACGUGCCAGCAGCCGCGGUAAUACGUAGGUGGCGAGCGUUAUCCGGAAUUAUUGGGCGUAAAGAGGGAGCAGGCGGCACUAAGGGUCUGUGGUGAAAGAUCGAAGCUUAACUUCGGUAAGCCAUGGAAACCGUAGAGCUAGAGUGUGUGAGAGGAUCGUGGAAUUCCAUGUGUAGCGGUGAAAUGCGUAGAUAUAUGGAGGAACACCAGUGGCGAAGGCGACGAUCUGGCGCAUAACUGACGCUCAGUCCCGAAAGCGUGGGGAGCAAAUAGGAUUAGAUACCCUAGUAGUCCACGCCGUAAACGAUGAGUACUAAGUGUUGGGAGUCAAAUCUCAGUGCUGCAG
Molecule: ribosomal RNA, 718 nt
Filed under: uncultured bacterium
Lineage: Bacteria
Description: bacterial SSU rRNA
Rfam family: Bacterial small subunit ribosomal RNA
Source: RNAcentral